GCCUGGGUGGCUCAGUUGGUUGAGCAUCUGACUUAGGCUCAGGUCAUGAUCUCGCAGUUUGUGAGUUCAAGCCCCACAUCGGGCU
Molecule: transfer RNA, 85 nt
Filed under: Felis catus (domestic cat)
Lineage: Eukaryota; Metazoa; Chordata; Mammalia; Carnivora; Felidae
Rfam family: tRNA
About the family: Transfer RNA (tRNA) molecules are approximately 80 nucleotides in length. Their secondary structure includes four short double-helical elements and three loops (D, anti-codon, and T loops). Further hydrogen bonds mediate the characteristic L-shaped molecular structure. tRNAs have two regions of fundamental functional importance: the anti-codon, which is responsible for specific mRNA codon recognition, and the 3' end, to which the tRNAs corresponding amino acid is attached (by aminoacyl-tRNA synthetases). tRNAs cope with the degeneracy of the genetic code in two manners: having more than one tRNA (with a specific anti-codon) for a particular amino acid; and 'wobble' base-pairing, i.e. permitting non-standard base-pairing at the 3rd anti-codon position.
Source: Rfam by way of RNAcentral